UAUGAUGUUUACAGGCCUAGGUGGCAAG
Molecule: non-coding RNA, 28 nt
Filed under: Bombyx mori (domestic silkworm)
Lineage: Eukaryota; Metazoa; Arthropoda; Insecta; Lepidoptera; Bombycidae
Source: RNAcentral